CCUACGGGAGGCAGCAGGAGGGAAUUUUGGGCAAUGGGCGAAAGCCUGACCCAGCAACGCCGCGUGAGGGAUGAAGGCCUUCGGGUCGUAAACCUCUGUCAGGGGGAACGAAGGGUCGGGGGUGAAUACCCCGCCGACUCGGACGCUACCCCUUGAGGAAGCCCCGGCUAACUCCGUGCCAGCAGCCGCGGUAAUACGGAGGGGGCAAGCGUUGCUCGGAAUCACUGGGCGUAAAGCGCGAGCAGGCGGCAUGCCACGUCGGUGGUGAAAGCCCUCCGCUCAACGGAGGAAUAGCCUUCGAUACGGGCAUGCUUGAGUGCGCGAGGGGGAGACGGAAUUCCAGGUGUAGAGGUGAAAUUCGUAGAUAUCUGGAGGAACACCGGUGGCGAAGGCGGCCAUCUGGACCGGAUCUGACGCUGAGGCGCGAAAGCGUGGGGAGCAAACAGGAUUAGAUACCCUGGUAGUCCACGCCGUAAACGAUGUGUGCUAGCCGUUGGGGCACUUAGUGUUUCGGUGGCGCAGCUAACGCGUUAAGCACACCGCCUGGGGAGUACGGCCGCAAGGUUAAAACUCAAAGGAAUUGACGG
Molecule: ribosomal RNA, 587 nt
Filed under: uncultured bacterium
Lineage: Bacteria
Description: bacterial SSU rRNA
Rfam family: Bacterial small subunit ribosomal RNA
Source: RNAcentral